GCUGCGAUGUUCAGUGGUUAAAUCGUUGGACUUGAAAUCCAAUGGGGUCUCCCCGCGCAGGUUUGAACCCUGCUCACAGCG
This is a non-coding RNA of Oncorhynchus nerka (sockeye salmon), 81 nucleotides long. NCBI's taxonomy places the organism in Eukaryota, Metazoa, Chordata, Actinopteri, Salmoniformes, Salmonidae. The record is from the annotation of a RefSeq genome assembly.